GCCCGUGUGGCUCAAUCGGUAGAGCGUGAGACUCUUAAUCUCAAGGCUGCGAGUUCGAGCCUCGCCAUGGGCU
Molecule: non-coding RNA, 73 nt
Organism: Hypoxylon crocopeplum
Lineage: Eukaryota; Fungi; Ascomycota; Sordariomycetes; Xylariales; Hypoxylaceae
Source: the annotation of a GenBank genome assembly